This 202-nucleotide long non-coding RNA is filed under the name Lupinus angustifolius (narrow-leaved blue lupine). RNAcentral's name for it is "long non-coding RNA (LANG_LNC003010)". The record is from RNAcentral. Lineage: Eukaryota; Viridiplantae; Streptophyta; Magnoliopsida; Fabales; Fabaceae.
GCAUAUAGAUGUUUCUGACACCAUCAUUGUUGAGUAUACUGACAAGGACCAUCUGGUUGGUGAGAGUCUCAUUCAUAAAAUGGGUAUAUACAAGUAUGGUACUACUUGGCAAUACCAGGAGGACUACACUACUAUUGAUCUGGAGCUGUCCGAUGAUGAUGAUCAGGGUGGCAUGGGUGAUCAGAAUGCUACAAAUCAGGGG